Molecule: long non-coding RNA, 200 nt
Filed under: Malus domestica (apple)
Lineage: Eukaryota; Viridiplantae; Streptophyta; Magnoliopsida; Rosales; Rosaceae
Description: long non-coding RNA (MDOM_LNC018196)
Source: RNAcentral
UGGACUUAUGGAAGAGGUGAAGUAGCUUAGCUCUAUCUCAUUAGCUCUCAUCUGUUCUAUUAAUGCUAAGAUCAAUAGUAAAAAGUUCUAUUGGUUUUAUAAUCAAAGAUACAUAUAUUAUAUAAACAGAGGAUAUAUCAUUAAUUUCUUGAUGUAAACAAUGAUAAUUUGAAGAACCAUUUAAAGUAUUUUCGUAAUCG